This 409-nucleotide ribosomal RNA is filed under the name uncultured Tomentella. RNAcentral describes it as "eukaryotic LSU rRNA". The stretch from base 117 to 271 matches the Rfam family "5.8S ribosomal RNA". Lineage: Eukaryota; Fungi; Basidiomycota; Agaricomycetes; Thelephorales; Thelephoraceae. The record is from RNAcentral.
CCUCUGUAGUUCUAUGGCGUGGGGGGCCCUGCCCUCCUGCUGUGGUUCUAUGUCUUUACACACACACUGUGAUGAAGUCUCAUGGAAUGUACAUCGCGUUUAACGCAAUAUAAUACAACUUUCAGCAACGGAUCUCUUGGCUCUCGCAUCGAUGAAGAACGCACCGAAAUGCGAUAAGUAGUGUGAAUUGCAGAAUUCAGUGAAUCAUCGAAUCUUUGAACGCACCUUGCGCCCUUUGGCUAUUCCGAAGGGCAUGCCUGUUUGAGUAUCAUGAACACCUCAACUCUCAUGUUUUUCCCAUGACGAGCUUGGACUUUGGGGGUCUUGCUGGCCUAUGGUCGGCUCCUCUUAAAUGAAUCAGCUUGCCAGUGUUUGGUGGCAUCCCAGGUGUGAUAACUAUCUACGCUUG